RNAcentral lists this ribosomal RNA (494 nucleotides) under uncultured bacterium. Its description in RNAcentral is "partial 16S ribosomal RNA". It matches the Rfam family "Bacterial small subunit ribosomal RNA", at positions 28 to 507 of the family's 1533-position model. The record is from RNAcentral.
GACGAACGCUGGCGGCGUGCUUAACACAUGCAAGUCGAACGGAAGGGCCUGCUUUCCCUUGUGGAUUGCGGGUACUCGAGUGGCGAACGGGUGAGUAACACGUGAGUGAUCUGCCCCCAACUUGGGUAUAAGCCUGGGAAACUGGGUCUAAUUCCCGAUAGGACUGCAGGGUGGUGCCUGUGGUGGAAAACGAUUUUCUAGUGGUUGGGGAUGAGCUCGCGGCCUAUCAGCUUGUUGGUGGGGUAAUGGCCUACCAAGGCGGCGACGGGUAGCCGGCCUGAGAGGGUGGACGGCCACAUUGGGACUGAGAUACGGCCCAGACUCCUACGGGAGGCAGCAGUGGGGAAUAUUGCACAAUGGGCGGAAGCCUGAUGCAGCGACGACGCGUGGGGGAUGACGGCCUUCGGGUUGUAAACUCCUUUCGACCGCGAGGAAGCCACCUGGUUGGAAGGGUGGUGACGGUAGUGGUAGAAGAAGCACCGGCUAACUACGUG